CGUAGAGAAAUGUAUAAUCUUAUUCUUUGCACUCUCUUUCGUCUUCCCAUUUUGAGAUGCAUUUUUUUCCUGCUUUUUCAGAACAUACAAUGUUUAUGUAUUAUUCUUAUACCCAUAAUUCCAGCCUUAUUUUAGCCUGGGCUCUGCAAUAUAGGAAAUGCUCACCGUCAGUUCCUUUGCCAAUUUCUCCUAUCGUCUCUUAUUGGGUGAAGCCCAUCGUCUGGUAUGAGACUUUAGCCGUGAUGAAGCGUCGGCAUCCCUCCCCCGAGGCUGGGACCACUGGACGCUGAAUGCAUCCAUCUUCCUUCGCGUGUCUCUCACUCAGCAUCUUUUCUAACGUCUACUUCCCACCAGGCUGCAGGCCCGUGUUAACCUUCAGAUUUGGGAAAGAACUGGAUUGGCUGCUGGCGCUGGAAACUUUUCUUCACGAACGCCUUUUAUACGGUUUUGGCAGGCACAUAUAAUACCAGCAGAGAGAGAAAUCCCGCUGGCGAGAGAAAAUAAAACCUU
RNAcentral lists this long non-coding RNA (510 nucleotides) under Equus caballus (horse). Its description in RNAcentral is "lncRNA (ENSECAG00000045381.1)". The record is from RNAcentral. Lineage: Eukaryota; Metazoa; Chordata; Mammalia; Perissodactyla; Equidae.